CCAUGGCAUGCUCAGUAGCGGCGAGUGAGCGGCAAAAGCUCAAAUUUGAAAUCUGGCGUCUUUGGCGUCCGAGUUGUAAUUUGAAGAAGGUAUCUUUGGGCCCGGCUCUUGUCUAUGUUCCUUGGAACAGGACGUCACAGAGGGUGAGAAUCCCGUGCGAUGAGAUGACCCGGGUCUGUGUAAAGUUCCUUCGACGAGUCGAGUUGUUUGGGAAUGCAGCUCUAAGUGGGUGGUAAAUUCCAUCUAAAGCUAAAUAUUGGCGAGAGACCGAUAGCGAACAAGUACAGUGAUGGAAAGAUGAAAAGAACUUUGAAAAGAGAGUGAAAAAGUACGUGAAAUUGUUGAAAGGGAAGGGCUUGAGAUCAGACUUGGUAUUUUGCAUGCUGCUCUCUCGGGGGCGGCCGCUGCGGUUUACCGGGCCAGCAUCGGUUUGGAGCGGCAGGAUAAUGGCGGAGGAAUGUGGCACGGCUUCUGCUGUGUGUUAUAGCCUCUGACGAUGCUGCCAGCCUAGACCGAGGACUGCGGUUUUUAACCUAGGAUGUUGGCAUAAUGAUCUUAAGUCGCCCGUCUUAACUCGGGAACAAUUUG
This 588-nucleotide ribosomal RNA is filed under the name Candida albicans. Its description in RNAcentral is "eukaryotic LSU rRNA". It matches the Rfam family "Eukaryotic large subunit ribosomal RNA", at positions 69 to 664 of the family's 3401-position model. The record is from RNAcentral. Lineage: Eukaryota; Fungi; Ascomycota; Pichiomycetes; Serinales; Debaryomycetaceae.